Molecule: ribosomal RNA, 253 nt
Filed under: uncultured bacterium
Lineage: Bacteria
Description: partial 16S ribosomal RNA
Rfam family: Bacterial small subunit ribosomal RNA
Source: RNAcentral
UACGAAGGGGGCUAGCGUUGUUCGGAGUUACUGGGCGUAAAGGGUGUGUAGGCGGUUCUUUAAGUUUGGUGUGAAAUCUCCCGGCUUAACCGGGAGGGUGCGCCGAAUACUGAGGGACUAGAGUACGGGAGAGGAAAGUGGAAUUCCUGGUGUAGCGGUGAAAUGCGUAGAUAUCAGGAGGAACACCGGUGGUGUAGACGGCUUUCUGGACCGUAACUGACGCUGAGACACGAAAGCGUGGGUAGCAAACAGG